Long non-coding RNA from Ochotona princeps (American pika), 167 nucleotides. RefSeq lists it as uncharacterized. NCBI's taxonomy places the organism in Eukaryota, Metazoa, Chordata, Mammalia, Lagomorpha, Ochotonidae. The record is from RefSeq and is a predicted model, not a curated record. The transcript is spliced from 3 exons.
GAAUUCCGCUGUCUGUUUCAACAAAAAUGAAGCAACUAGAGAUGGUGGUAUGGUUAUUUAGAAGACGAACAGCACAGUUUCCCUGAUACUCUUUUGCUGGGUUGCUUUGACAGAAGGAUCAAGACCGAGUAGUGACUCUUAUUUCAAUGACAGCAGCAGUGUUAACA